RNAcentral lists this ribosomal RNA (404 nucleotides) under uncultured prokaryote. Its description in RNAcentral is "bacterial SSU rRNA". It matches the Rfam family "Bacterial small subunit ribosomal RNA", at positions 355 to 776 of the family's 1533-position model. The record is from RNAcentral. RNAcentral also lists the same sequence under 1 other name.
UGGGGAAUAUUGGACAAUGGGCGAAAGCCUGAUCCAGCAAUGCCGCGUGAGUGAUGAAGGCCUUAGGGUUGUAAAGCUCUUUUACCAGGGAUGAUAAUGACAGUACCUGGAGAAUAAGCUCCGGCUAACUCCGUGCCAGCAGCCGCGGUAAUACGGAGGGAGCUAGCGUUGUUCGGAAUUACUGGGCGUAAAGCGCACGUAGGCGGCUAUUCAAGUCAGAGGUGAAAGCCCGGAGCUCAACUUCGGAACUGCCUUUGAAACUAGAUAGCUAGAAUCCUGGAGAGGUGAGUGGAAUUCCGAGUGUAGAGGUGAAAUUCGUAGAUAUUCGGAAGAACACCAGUGGCGAAGGCGACUCACUGGACAGGUAUUGACGCUGAGGUGCGAAAGCGUGGGGAGCAAACAGG